RNAcentral lists this ribosomal RNA (253 nucleotides) under uncultured bacterium. RNAcentral's name for it is "partial 16S ribosomal RNA". It matches the Rfam family "Bacterial small subunit ribosomal RNA", at positions 524 to 776 of the family's 1533-position model. The record is from RNAcentral.
UACGAAGGGGGCUAGCGUUGCUCGGAAUCACUGGGCGUAAAGCGCACGUAGGCGGCUUUUUAAGUCAGGGGUGAAAUCCUGGAGCUCAACUCCAGAACUGCCUUUGAUACUGAGAAGCUUGAGUCCGGGAGAGGUGAGUGGAACUGCGAGUGUAGAGGUGAAAUUCGUAGAUAUUCGCAAGAACACCAGUGGCGAAGGUGGCUCACUGGCCCGGUACUGACGCUGAGGUGCGAAAGCGUGGGGAGCAAACAGG